This 1599-nucleotide ribosomal RNA is filed under the name uncultured Peritrichia. Its description in RNAcentral is "SSU rRNA". It matches the Rfam family "Eukaryotic small subunit ribosomal RNA". Lineage: Eukaryota; Ciliophora; Oligohymenophorea. The record is from RNAcentral.
AACCUGGUUGAUCCUGCCAGUAGUCAUAUGCUUGUCUUAAAGAUUAAUCCAUGCAUGUGUAAGUAUAAGUAUUGUACAGCGAAACUGCGAAUGGCUCAUUACAUCAGUUAUAAUUUAUUUGAUAAUCGAAAGUUACAUGGAUAACCGUGACAAAUUACAGCUAAUACAUGCAGUCAGACCUGGUCCAAGGGUCGUAAUUAUUAGUAUUAAACCAUUUCCGAAAGGAGUGUGAUGAAUCAUAAUAAUCGAACGAAUCGCCUGGUGUGCGAUAAAUCAUUCAAGUUUCUGCCCUAUCAGCUUUGGAUGGUAGUGUAUUGGACUACCAUGGCAGUCACGGGUAACGGAGAAUUAGGGUUCGAUUCCGGAGAGGGAGCCUGAGAAACGGCUACCACAUCUACGGAAGGCAGCAGGAGCGAAAAUUGCCCAAUCCCGACACGGGGAGGCAGUGACGAGAAAUAACAACUCUUGGUUAUUCUAAGAAGUGUAAUGAGGAUAAUUUAAAACCCUUACCGAAAGCAAUUGGAGGGCAAGUCUGGUGCCAGCAGCCGCGGUAAUUCCAGCUCCAAUAGCGUAUAUUAAAGUUGUUGCAGUUAAAAAGCUCGUAGUUGAAGUUCUGGCUGUUCGAUCCUCGAGCUCUGUAGCCGAGGACUCGACAGUCAUCCGCUUGCAAAUAUAUGUUCGCCUUUAACCGGGUGGCUAUAUGAGUAAGCAAUUUACCUUGAGAAAAACAGAGUGUUCCAGGCAGGUUUGUCCGGAAUGCAUUAGCAUGGAAUAAUAGAAUAUGACUGAAGUCGAUUUAUUGGUUUGAGGCUUUAGUAAUGAUUAAUAGGAACAGUCGGGGGCAUUGGUACUUGACAGUCAGAGGUGAAAUUCUAGGAUUUGUCAAAGACUAACAAAUGCGAAAGCAUUUGCCAAGGAUGUUUUCAUUAAUCAAGAACGAAAGUUAGGGGAUCAAAGACGAUCAGAUACCGUCCUAGUCUUAACUAUAAACUAUACCGACUCGGAUUCAGAUGAAUCAUAAAGUUCAUUUGGGAUCGUAGGAGAAAUCAAAGUUUUUGGGUUCUGGGGGAAGUAUGGUCGCAAGGCUGAAACUUAAAGGAAUUGACGGUUUUGCACCACCAUGGAGUGGAGUCUGCGGCUUAAUUUGACUCAACACUGGGAAACUCAUCAGGGCAAGAAGAUUGUAGGAUUGACAGAUUGAGAGUUCUUUCUUGAUUGGUCUAGUGGUGGUGCAUGGCCGUUCUUAGUUGGUGGAGUGAUUUGUCUGGUUAAUUCCGUUAACGAACGAGACCUUAACCUGCUAACUAGUACACAGAUGACAAAUCUGUGAUACUUCUUAGAGGGACUAUGUGAUGUAAUCACAUGGAAGUUUGAGGCAAUAACAGGUCUGUGAUGCCCUUAGAUGUCCUGAGCUGCACGCGUACUACAAUGGUGCUUUCAACGAGCUUUUCCUGAUCCGAAAGGAUUUGGGUAAUCUUUUUAGUGAGCACCGUGCUUGGGAUAGAUCUUUGUAAUUAUGGAUCUUGAACUAGGAAUUCCUAGUAAGCGCGCGUCAUCAGCGCGUGCUGAUUACGUCCCUGCAAAAUGUACACACCGCCC